Molecule: ribosomal RNA, 162 nt
Filed under: Boesenbergia plicata
Lineage: Eukaryota; Viridiplantae; Streptophyta; Magnoliopsida; Zingiberales; Zingiberaceae
Description: 5.8S ribosomal RNA
Rfam family: 5.8S ribosomal RNA
About the family: 5.8S ribosomal RNA (5.8S rRNA) is a component of the large subunit of the eukaryotic ribosome.
Source: RNAcentral
CAAAUGACUCUCGGCAAUGGAUAUCUCGGCUCUUGCAUCGAUGAAGAACGUAGUGAAAUGCGAUACUUGGUGUGAAUUGCAGAAUCUCGUGAACCAUUGAGUCUUUGAACGCAAGUUGUGCCCGAGGCCUUGUGGUCGAGGGCACGCCUGCUUGGGCGUCAU